UUUUUGUAAAACACACCACCAAACAAAAAUGUCACAAAAAGCAUAUUGAUAAAUUUUUCCACGGCCACCAGGCAUAGCGGAAUUGGCUCGGUUUGUCCCCAGUGUACUUUUUUUGCUUUCUUCUGACCACUACUCAUGCUAGGGCCUUCAUCUGGGUCAGAAUUUUCUUCAGGACUCAGGUCAUGCUGACUAAUUUUUCCUCUCAAAUAUUCAUCUAUUGCUAUUAUGUAUUUUCUCACUCACAGGAUGACGAUUCUUCUUUUUCUUCUGUUUUACUGGCAGUUGGCAACCCAUUUAAUUAGAGCAGGUAGUUGUACUGCCCUCUGGUGGUAGAGAAUGCAAUUGUUCUCCCGCUACCCACGCUGGUCGCUUAGAGUACUAACCGGGUGGAACCAGACAAUCUUCAAUGGCACACCUGAUCAUUUGAGAAACACUGGUCUAAGUACUCACUCAAAGAAGCAAGAGGGUCUGUCAUCAACCACACUAUCUGGAAAAGCCCGCUAAGUACAGCAACAUUAAGAAAGCUGCCGAGGCUGCUGCUGAGGAACCCAUGAAAGGAAUCCUCUGAUACACAGAAGACCAGGUGGCAUCUACAGGCUUCAACGGUGACCCUCACUUCUCCAUCUUUGAUGCUGGAGCUGGAACUGCACUCAAACAACCACAGCAACUACAGAAACCUGCUGUGUGACCCAUUCGUGCACACGGAGUCAACUCCUGAGUCAUCAUUCUGGAUUCUAGAUGUUACAGCAUCUGCACCAAGAGCAAACUCAUAUAGAAUGGGGAAAUACCUUUUAAAGGAUUGUUAUCUUUUCUGUUCAGUACUAAAGAAUGUACAGAUUCAUUGUUGUAAUGUUACUGACCUUGCGGCUCUUUUGCACUUUGAAUAAAAGAUCUAAAUUUG
Oreochromis niloticus (Nile tilapia) is the source of this 901-nucleotide long non-coding RNA. RefSeq lists it as uncharacterized. The record is from RefSeq and is a predicted model, not a curated record. NCBI's taxonomy places the organism in Eukaryota, Metazoa, Chordata, Actinopteri, Cichliformes, Cichlidae. The transcript is spliced from 2 exons.